GAUGAACGCUGGCGGCAUGCCUUACACAUGCAAGUCGAACGGCAGCGCGGGGCAACCUGGCGGCGAGUGGCGAACGGGUGAGUAAUAUAUCGGAACGUGCCCUGGAGUGGGGGAUAACGCAGCGAAAGUUGCGCUAAUACCGCAUACGAUCUAAGGAUGAAAGGCAGGGGGACCGCAAGGCCUUGUGCUCCUGGAGCGGCCGAUAUCUGAUUAGCUAGUUGGUGGGUAAAGGCCUACCAAGGCAUCGAUCAGUAGCUGGUCUGAGAGGACGACCAGCCACACUGGAACUGAGACACGGUCCAGACUCCUACGGGAGGCAGCAGUGGGGAAUUUUGGACAAUGGGCGCAAGCCUGAUCCAGCAAUGCCGCGUGCAGGAUGAAGGCC
This 385-nucleotide ribosomal RNA is filed under the name uncultured bacterium. RNAcentral describes it as "bacterial SSU rRNA". It matches the Rfam family "Bacterial small subunit ribosomal RNA", at positions 28 to 416 of the family's 1533-position model. The record is from RNAcentral.